CGAAUCACAGUAGAUUAGCUUAAUCCAGGCACUAGGUGCCAGGACGAGACAUCACUCGGAAGCUGUUGCUCCGAAGCAUUCCGGUUCAGUGGUGCAGUUACAUCGGGGAUAGUCAAAGGCGGCCUCGCACUUUUGAUGAAACUUUAGAGGAUAAGGCAGGAAUUGAUGGCUUUGGUUCUGUUCCUGCACGAAAAUUUAGGCAAAGAUAAGCAUGUAGAAAGCUUAUGAUUUCCUCGUUUGGACCGGGGUUCGUUCCCCCGCAGCUCCACUU
Molecule: transfer-messenger RNA, 271 nt
Filed under: Escherichia coli
Lineage: Bacteria; Pseudomonadati; Pseudomonadota; Gammaproteobacteria; Enterobacterales; Enterobacteriaceae
Description: partial transfer-messenger RNA
Rfam family: transfer-messenger RNA
About the family: Bacterial tmRNA, also known as 10Sa RNA or SsrA, is named for its dual tRNA and mRNA-like properties. Its role is to liberate the mRNA from a stalled ribosome. To accomplish this part of the tmRNA is used as a reading frame that ends in a translation stop signal.
Source: RNAcentral